Molecule: ribosomal RNA, 253 nt
Filed under: uncultured bacterium
Lineage: Bacteria
Description: partial 16S ribosomal RNA
Rfam family: Bacterial small subunit ribosomal RNA
Source: RNAcentral
UACGGGGGGAGCAAGCGUUGUUCGGAAUUACUGGGCGUAAAGGGCGCGUAGGCGGCCUGCUAAGUCACACGUGAAAUCCCUCGGCUCAACCGGGGAACUGCGUGUGAUACUGGCGGGCUCGAAUUCGGGAGAGGGAUGUGGAAUUCCAGGUGUAGCGGUGAAAUGCGUAGAUAUCUGGAGGAACACCGGUGGCGAAGGCGGCAUCCUGGACCGAGAUUGACGCUGAUGCGCGAAAGCUAGGGUAGCAAACGGG